UUUGAUAAGGAAACUUAAAUAAUGGAACA
RNAcentral lists this non-coding RNA (29 nucleotides) under Rattus norvegicus (Norway rat). The record is from RNAcentral. Lineage: Eukaryota; Metazoa; Chordata; Mammalia; Rodentia; Muridae.